CAACAAAUUCCCAAAAUAAAAUAUAAAGUGCAUUCAAAAUGACAUUCUUACAAAGUGUUUUAAGUAAAUCUCUGGCCCCUGCUAUUCCAGCCAUGUGAGUGGAACGUCAGUGAUUCAAAUCGUCCCACUAUCCAGCCCGUCGCAGAUGUUACCAUAUGGAACGCUCAACUAAAAAUACAAGUCAAGGCGUGCUGAAACGGCUACAUCCUGGGCUACAUUUGACUAAAAUUAGUAAAUUAAAACAAGUUUGCUGGAGUUGCUGAAAGAUAAUUCAAAAGGAUCUAUUUGUGCAGUAACCACAAUUCGUGCCACGAACUACGUUUUUAUCCAAGUCGUCACGUAUAUAUACCCAAGUCAACGCAAAAUGUUCUCUUAUGUGAACGAAGAGACUCACGCGCAUGCUUCUGGUUUCGGGAUUCGACCGCACCUUUUUCCAAUGGGAAGGAAGGAUCUUUUAGUAACUCAUCAGUCUCACAAGGGACUAACACUACAAGGCACGACCACCCACCAUCUCUGCGUCCCUCAGGAUUCAACAAAUCCUGGUUUCAUCGGUCGCCGUUUAUCAAGAACGGUGUGCUCAUUCAUUUAUUCAAACCUGCGACUUCUCAAGAACUUUUUCCCAUAAAAGUUUUUUGUCCGUCUAAUCCGGAACAUAUCAUCGAUGGCCGCUCAGCAGGUCGAAGCAACUGGAGAACAACAUGUUUCGCCGACGUUAGUAAUCAACAAAAACAAAGGUCUAGGAAAUGGGGUUUUCG
Long non-coding RNA from Daphnia pulicaria, 755 nucleotides. RefSeq lists it as uncharacterized. NCBI's taxonomy places the organism in Eukaryota, Metazoa, Arthropoda, Branchiopoda, Diplostraca, Daphniidae. The transcript is spliced from 6 exons. The record is from RefSeq and is a predicted model, not a curated record.